UGCGGCACGCCUAAUACAUGCAAGUCGAACGAGAAAGCACUUCGGUGUGAGUACAGUGGCGGACGGGUGAGUAACGCGUAGGAAUCUACCUAGUAGUGGGGGACAACUCGAGGAAACUCGAGCUAAUACCGCAUACGCUCUAUGGAGGAAAGUGGGGGAUCUUCGGACCUCACGCUAUUAGAGGAGCCUGCGUUAGAUUAGCUAGUUGGUGAGGUAAAGGCUCACCAAGGCUACGAUCUAUAGCUGGUCUGAGAGGACGAUCAGCCACACUGGAACUGAGACACGGUCCAGACUCCUACGGGAGGCAGCAGUAGGGAAUCUUGGGCAAUGGGCGAAAGCCUGACCCAGCGAUGCCGCGUGUGCGAAGAAGGCCUUAGGGUUGUAAAGCACUUUCAGUUGCGAAGAAAAGCUACGGUUUAAUAUGCCGUGGUCUUGACGUUAACAACAGAAGAAGUACCGGCUAACUCCGUGCCAGCAGCCGCGGUAAUACGGAGGGUACGAACGUUAAUCGGAAUUACUGGGCGUAAAGCGCGCGUAGGCGGUUUGAUAAGUGGGAUGUGAAAGCCCCGGGCUCAACCUGGGAACUGCAUUCCAAACUGUCAAACUAGAGUGUGGUAGAGGGAGGUAGAAUUUCCUGUGUAGCGGUGAAAUGCGUAGAUAUAGGGAAGGGAAUACCGGAUGGCGGAAGGCAGCCCUCCUGGACCAACACUGACGCUGA
This 718-nucleotide ribosomal RNA is filed under the name gamma proteobacterium IMCC14954. RNAcentral's name for it is "bacterial SSU rRNA". It matches the Rfam family "Bacterial small subunit ribosomal RNA", at positions 38 to 749 of the family's 1533-position model. Lineage: Bacteria; Pseudomonadati; Pseudomonadota; Gammaproteobacteria. The record is from RNAcentral.